GAUGAACGCUGGCGGCGUGCCUAAUACAUGCAAGUCGAGCGAACGGACGAGAAGCUUGCUUUUCUGAUGUUAGCGGCGGACGGGUGAGUAACACGUGGAUAACCUACCUAUAAGACUGGGAUAACUUCGGGAAACCGGAGCUAAUACCGGAUAAUAUUUUGAACCGCAUGGUUCAAAAGUGAAAGACGGUCUUGCUGUCACUUAUAGAUGGAUCCGCGCUGCAUUUGCUAGUUGGUAAGGUAACGGCUUAUCAAGGCAACGAUGCAUAGCCGACCUGAGAGGGUGAUCGGCCACACGGGAACUGAGACACGGUCCAGACUCCUACGGGAGGCAGCAGUAGGGAAUCUUCCGCAAUGGGCGAAAGCCUGACGGAGCAACGCCGCGUGAGUGAUGAAGGUCUUCGGAUCGUAAAACUCUGUUAUUAGGGAAGAACAUAUGUGUAAGUAACUGUGCACAUCUUGACGGUACCUAAUCAGAAAGCCACGGCUAACUACGUG
Molecule: ribosomal RNA, 497 nt
Filed under: uncultured bacterium
Lineage: Bacteria
Description: partial 16S ribosomal RNA
Rfam family: Bacterial small subunit ribosomal RNA
Source: RNAcentral